UGGGGAAUCUUCCGCAAUGGACGAAAGUCUGACGGAGCAACGCCGCGUGAGUGAUGACGGCCUUCGGGUUGUAAAGCUCUGUUAAUCGGGACGAAUGGUUCUUGUGCAAAUAGUGCGAGGAUUUGACGGUACCGGAAUAGAAAGCCAUGGCUAACUACGUGCCAGCAGCCGCGGUAAUACGUAGGUGGCAAGCGUUGUCCGGAAUUAUUGGGAGUAAAGCGCGCGCAGGCGGAUUGGUCAGUCUGUCUUAAAAGUACGGGGCUUAACCCCGUGAUGGGAUGGAAAAUGCCAAUCUGAAGUUUCGGAGAUGAAGGUGGAAUUGCAAGUGUAGCGGUGAAAUGCGUAGAUGUUAGGAAGAACACCAGUGGCGAAGGCGACUUUCUGGACGAAAACUGACGCUGAGGCGCGAAAGCCAGGGGAGCGAACGGG
RNAcentral lists this ribosomal RNA (429 nucleotides) under bacterium. RNAcentral describes it as "partial 16S ribosomal RNA". It matches the Rfam family "Bacterial small subunit ribosomal RNA", at positions 355 to 776 of the family's 1533-position model. The record is from RNAcentral.